RNAcentral lists this ribosomal RNA (421 nucleotides) under uncultured bacterium. RNAcentral describes it as "partial 16S ribosomal RNA". It matches the Rfam family "Bacterial small subunit ribosomal RNA", at positions 360 to 773 of the family's 1533-position model. The record is from RNAcentral.
AAUAUUGGACAAUGGGGGCAACCCUGAUCCAGCCAUGCCGCGUGUGUGAAGAAGGUCUUCGGGUUGUAAAGCACUUUUGGCAGGGAAGAAAAGGCUCUGGUUAAUACCCGGAGCUGCUGACGGUACCUGCAGAAUAAGCCCCGGCUAACUUCGUGCCAGCAGCCGCGGUAAUACGAAGGGUGCAAGCGUUAAUCGGAAUUACUGGGCGUAAAGCGCGCGUAGGUGGUUUGUUAAGUUGGAAGGGAAAGCCCCGGGCUCAACCUGGGAACUGCUUUCAAAACUGGCAAGCUAGAGUACGGUAGAGGGUAGUGGAAUUUCCUGUGUAGCGGUGAAAUGCGUAGAUAUAGGAAGGAACACCAGUGGCGAAGGCGACUACCUGGACUGAUACUGACACUGAGGUGCGAAAGCGUGGGGAGCAAAC